GAUGAACGCUGGCGGCGUGCCUAAUACAUGCAAGUCGAGCGAACGGACGAGAAGCUUGCUUUUCUGAUGUUAGCGGCGGACGGGUGAGUAACACGUGGAUAACCUACCUAUAAGACUGGGAUAACUUCGGGAAACCGGAGCUAAUACCGGAUAAUAUUUUGAACCGCAUGGUUCAAAAGUGAAAGACGGUCUUGCUGUCACUUAUAGAUGGAUCCGCGCUGCAUUAGCUAGUUGGUAAGGUAACGGCUUACCAAGGCAACGAUGCAUAGCCGACCUGAGAGGGUGGUCGGACACACUGGAACUGAGACACGGUCCAGACUCCUACGGGAGGCAGCAGUAGGGAAUCUUCCGCAAUGGGCGAAAGCCUGACGGAGCAACGCCGCGUGAGUGAUGAAGGUCUUCGGAUCGUAAAACUCUGUUAUUAGGGAAGAACAUAUGUGUAAGUAACUGUGCACAUCUUGACGGUACCUAAUCAGAAAGCCACAGCUAACUACGUG
This 497-nucleotide ribosomal RNA is filed under the name uncultured bacterium. Its description in RNAcentral is "partial 16S ribosomal RNA". It matches the Rfam family "Bacterial small subunit ribosomal RNA", at positions 28 to 507 of the family's 1533-position model. The record is from RNAcentral.